This 104-nucleotide small RNA is filed under the name Marmota monax (woodchuck). Lineage: Eukaryota; Metazoa; Chordata; Mammalia; Rodentia; Sciuridae. The record is from RNAcentral.
GCCAGGUGUGGUGUCCAUACCUAUAAUCCCAGUGACUUGGGAGGCCAAGGCAGGAGGAUGGCAAGUUCAAGGCGAGCCUGGACAAAUAGUGAGACCCUGUCCCU